GGGACCUGUACUCGUUGCGGCGCAACGAUGGCUAA
This 35-nucleotide non-coding RNA is filed under the name Enterocloster bolteae. Its description in RNAcentral is "Selenocysteine insertion sequence 4". It matches the Rfam family "Selenocysteine insertion sequence 4". Lineage: Bacteria; Bacillati; Bacillota; Clostridia; Lachnospirales; Lachnospiraceae. The record is from RNAcentral.